This 492-nucleotide ribosomal RNA is filed under the name uncultured bacterium. Its description in RNAcentral is "partial 16S ribosomal RNA". It matches the Rfam family "Bacterial small subunit ribosomal RNA", at positions 29 to 507 of the family's 1533-position model. The record is from RNAcentral.
AGUGAACGCUGGCGGUAGGCCUAACACAUGCAAGUCGAACGGCAGCACAGUAAGAUCUUGCUCUUACGAGUGGCGAGUGGCGGACGGGUGAGGAAUACAUCGGAAUCUACUUUUUCGUGGGGGAUAACGUAGAGAAACUUACGCUAAUACCGCAUACGACCUACGGGUGAAAGCAGGGGAUCUUCGGACCUUGCGCGAUUGAAUGAGCCGAUGUCGGAUUAGCUAGUUGGCGGGGUAAAGGCCCACCAAGGCGACGAUCCGUAGCUGGUCUGAGAGGAUGAUCGGCCACACUGGAACUGAGACACGGUCCAGACUCCUACGGGAGGCAGCAGUGGGGAAUAUUGGACAAUGGGCGCAAGCCUGAUCCAGCCAUACCGCGUGAGUGAAGAAGGCCUUCGGGUUGUAAAGCCCUUUUGUUGGGAAAGAAAAGCAGCAGGUUAAUACCCCGCUGUUCUGACGGUACCCAAAGAAUAAGCACCGGCUAACUUCGUG